AGUGAACGCUGGCGGUAGGCCUAACACAUGCCAGUCGAACGGCAGCACAGUAAGAGCUUGCUCUUACGAGUGGCGAGUGGCGGACGGGUGAGGAGUACAUCGGAAUCUACUUUUUCGUGGGGGAUAACGUAGGGAAACUUACGCUAAUACCGCAUACGACCUACGGGUGAAAGCAGGGGAUCUUCGGACCUUGCGCGAUUGAAUGAGCCGAUGUCGGAUUAGCUAGUUGGCGGGGUAAAGGCCCACCAAGGCGACGAUCCGUAGCUGGUCUGAGAGGAUGAUCAGCCACACUGGAACUGAGACACGGUCCAGACUCCUACGGGAGGCAGCAGUGGGGAAUAUUGGACAAUGGGCGCAAGCCUGAUCCAGCCAUACCGCGUGGGUGAAGAAGGCCUUCGGGUUGUAAAGCCCUUUUGUUGGGAAAGAAAAGCAGCAGGUUAAUACCCCGCUGUUCUGACGGUACCCAAAGAAUAAGCACCGGCUAACUUCGUG
RNAcentral lists this ribosomal RNA (492 nucleotides) under uncultured bacterium. RNAcentral's name for it is "partial 16S ribosomal RNA". It matches the Rfam family "Bacterial small subunit ribosomal RNA", at positions 29 to 507 of the family's 1533-position model. The record is from RNAcentral.